UGAUUGGGCCGACGUCGCAUGCUCCAGGUCGCCAUGUCAUACCGCGGGAAUUUCAUCGAGUUUGAUCAUGGCUCAGAUUGAACGCUGGCGGCAUGCCUUACACAUGCAAGUCGAACGGUAACAGGUCUUCGGAUGCUGACGAGUGGCGAACGGGUGAGUAAUACAUCGGAACGUGCCCGAUCGUGGGGGAUAACGAGGCGAAAGCUUUGCUAAUACCGCAUACGAUCUACAGAUGAAAGCGGGGGAUCUUUGGACCUCGCGCGGACGGAGCGGCCGAUGGCAGAUUAGGUAGUUGGUGGGAUAAAAGCUUACCAAGCCGACGAUCUGUAGCUGGUCUGAGAGGAUGAUCAGCCACACUGGGACUGAGACACGGCCCAGACUCCUACGGGAGGCAGCAGUGGGGAAUUUUGGACAAUGGGCGAAAGCCUGAUCCAGCCAUGCCGCGUGCAGGAUGAAGGCCUUCGGGUUGUAAACUGCUUUUGUACGGAACGAAAAGCCUCUUUCUAAUAAAGAGGGGUCAUGACGGUACCGUAAGAAUAAGCACCGGCUAACUACGUGCCAGCAGCCGCGGUAAUACGUAGGGUGCAAGCGUUAAUCGGAAUUACUGGGCGUAAAGCGUGCGCAGGCGGUUUUGUAAGACAGAGGUGAAAUCCCCGGGCUCAACCUGGGAACUGCCUUUGUGACUGCAAGGCUGGAGUGCGGCAGAGGGGGAUGGAAUUCCGCGUGUAGCAGUGAAAUGCGUAGAUAUGCGGAGGAACA
Molecule: ribosomal RNA, 759 nt
Filed under: uncultured bacterium
Lineage: Bacteria
Description: partial 16S ribosomal RNA
Rfam family: Bacterial small subunit ribosomal RNA
Source: RNAcentral